Molecule: long non-coding RNA, 1140 nt
Filed under: Brassica napus (rape)
Lineage: Eukaryota; Viridiplantae; Streptophyta; Magnoliopsida; Brassicales; Brassicaceae
Description: long non-coding RNA (BNAP_LNC001948)
Source: RNAcentral
ACUACCCAAAGAAAAGUGUGUGUUCUUAGUUUGUCCUUUGGCAAAUUCUCUUUGAUUUGAAGAGGGACCUUAAUUGGUAUCAAAUCCAUGUUUCUAGAUCAACAAUAGAUAUCUCUUGGCAAGGGACCUAUCAAUUGGUAUCAGAGCAUGUUUUGUUUUUGAUCCGGACCACUUUGUGGUAUCAAAAACUUUAUAUUUGAAAUCUUCCUUGUUAUCGGUAUUCUUCAUGAAUCAAGGGUUUCAAGAAUCCUCGACGAACGGCCAUUCUUCAGAAUCAACGAUCAUCGAGAUAUAUCCAGCUAUUUUUUCUUUUCACCGUUUUCUUCUUUUCGGGUUUGUUGAUCAAGUUCAACAUCCUUUCUUUUAUAUGGAUUAAAAUCUGUAAUUCUUCCACUGUUUUUCAGUUUUCAAAAAAAAAAAAAGAUUUCACAUUUCUUUGUCAUUUAAAAAAAAAGAAGAAGUUUAUUUCCAAUAAUGAACCGUGGAAACAAUUUGGCAUUGGUCUUGGUGGAUGGCUCGUUGAAAAACAUCUAUGACUCGAGGAAACCACAUGAAAGGACGAGAAGCAAUUCAAGUCAAGAUUUCCCUAUUCAACACGAACCUUGAGGACAAGGUUCUUUCCGACAGGCUGGAGUAGGGUUUCAAGAAUCCUCGACGAACGGCCAUUCUUCAGAAUCAACGAUCAUCGAGAUCUAUCCAGCUAUUUUUUCUUUUCACCGUUUUCUUCUUUUCGGGUUUGUUGAUCAAGUUCAACAUCCUUUCUUUUAUAUGGAUUAAAAUCUGUAAUUCUUCCACUGUUUUUCAGUUUUCAAAAAAAAAAAAAGAUUUCACAUUUCUUUGUCAUUUAAAAAAAAAGAAGAAGUUUAUUUCCAAUAAUGAACCGUGGAAACAAUUUGGCAUUGGUCUUGGUGGAUGGCUCGUUGAAAAACAUCUAUGACUCGAGGAAACCACAUGAAAGGACGAGAAGCAAUUCAAGUCAAGAUUUCCCUAUUCAACACGAACCUUGAGGACAAGGUUCUUUCCGACAGGCUGGAGUAUUGAUGAGACUACACUCAACCAUAGUUCAAUAUGACUUAGUCUUCAAGUUGUUUCCUAUGUUUAUGCAAAUAAAAAGAUCACUGCUACAUUUCCUGUUAUGUA